Macaca mulatta (Rhesus monkey) is the source of this 3304-nucleotide long non-coding RNA. The record is from Ensembl. NCBI's taxonomy places the organism in Eukaryota, Metazoa, Chordata, Mammalia, Primates, Cercopithecidae.
AAAAAAAAAAAAAAAAAAAAAAAAAAAAAAAAUUCAGGAAAAUGCAAAUCAGAAUCAGAAUGAAAUGUCUCCGAACACCUGAUAGAAUGGCUACUAUCAAAAAGACAAGAGACAACAAGUGUUGGUCACAAUGUGGAGACAAGGGAUCCUUCACACACUGUUGAGGGGAACGUAAACUGGUGCAGCCAUCACGGAAAACAGGACGGAGGUUCCUCCAAAAACUCAAAACAAGGUCCAGUCUUUCUGAGGCCCCCUUCUGCUUGCCUGUGACCACCCUUCUUCCAACCCUCCAGCUCCAGGUCCCCUCUACUGCUCUUAGAGGCGGCGUCUUCGCACUCUGGGCCUUACGGCAGCUGCUCCUCCAGGUUUGCUCUCCAACUGCAGCCUUCCCUGUCCUGCGCGACCACCGGCCUCCUGGUGUCCUCUGCCUAUAGUGGAAACCCCUCCAACACUGUGCCAUCACCUCCGUUUACUCUCACCGCCUCCUCCACUUAAUUGCAAGCUCCAGGGAGGCAUGUUUUCAUCUGAUGCGUUCACCCCAAGUACUAACAGCUAUGCCUGGCACAUAGUAGAUGCUAAAUGGAUAUUUGAUGAACUUAAAAACAAAAUUCAAACGAUUCCUUCCCUCUCUGGUCAAUGGAAGACGGAGAAGGAAUGAAAUUGAACUCCAAUAGGCAAAACAAAGGGCGGGAGGGUGGUGUGCUGACCGCCUCCUCCCGCACCCCGCUGGGCCCCAACCCACCCCGCCCGGCCCCCACGGGAUCCUUUUCUACAAGGGUGAGAGGAGCUGACUCCGGUUUGGACUGGAAAAAAGUUUCCAAGAAAAUAAAAUUAGUGGCCCAAGCACAUACCCCUCCUCCGCCCCGCGCAGGCUCUGAGAUGCGUUCCAGCAAUUGCCCAGGGACUUGGAGGGAGCGGGCAUUUUCAGGGUCACAGAGGCCAUCUGGGGAGAAAGGGUGCGGCUGUUUUGCUGAAAUGUGAAAAGAGAUGUCAUUUGGAGCCCUGGACGCCAUUUCCGGCUGGCUACCUGAGGUUGCGUGCAAGGGGCGGGUCCUUAGGCAUGAAAAUGACCCGCCCGGCCGCAAAGGCGCACAGGCCCAGGGCCGCAGAGCCCCUCCAAGCCGGGAUCGGUCUUGGAGACCUGCGCGAUGCAGCAGACAGCGGGACUGCGGGGCGCUGCAGUGCAGGCUGUACAGCUGCAGAGGAGCCGGGAAUACAGGGGUGCGGGGCGCAGGGAUGCCGGGCGCCGGGGACGGUCACUGUUGCUUUCUACUGGGUUGUGCAGGCUCAGGUUCCCAGGGCUGGGUGGUUGCUACUCUGCAUAAAACGCUAAGACUUUGAGGCCCUUAUUCAUUCUAGGGGACGUCUCCCAAUUGGUCAAUUCAAAACCUCUGGGCCAGGUUGCGUUGGUUGCAGAUUCCACCCUCUGAGUCUCCGUACGCUGCCGCUGCAGCUGCCUCGGGUCUGCUCCUCCUCCGGGGUCAGAACCUCCGAUGCUCUCCUAGUUUUACAAGCGUUAAGUCACUGGUUUCUCGCAGCAUCGCGUGUUCCCUAGAUACAUGGGCUGAGGCUUAUUCUUCCUGAAAGUGAGGCUUUUUUCCCUUGGGCUUUCCAGAGCCAGCCCGCGUGGGGAGUGACGAGUGACAGGCGCCUUUGUUCUGGGCUUGCAUGGGUGGGACGUGCCCCCUCCUCAGCACUCAGCCCGGGCGAGCCUGGCCCGCCCAUCGCCCCUUCUCAAGUGCAUUUGUCCCGGGUUCUCGACUUGGUUCACUCUUUCCUGCUUACACAGAUACACACACACACCCAGACCUAAACUUUAUAUAAACAGACAUGAACUUAAAGAAACAAAACCCCCAUUAUGUGUCAACGCGAUCCUUUUAAACAAAAUCAAUAAAAAUUCAACACGAUGUUAUUUCCAUACUUUUGUUGUCUUAUUAUUAGAAACGUGUAUGUUAACUUUCCUCCUUUUAUAAAUGAGACAUGUUCUAAUUAACCAUUUGUAUGGUUGUUUUUAAUGCUCAAAUGGUCACACUGCAGGCCCAGGGAGGUAUUUUGAAAACGCUGCUGUCCUUUUGGGGUCACCCUGAUUGUUGGAAGCAUCUUUGCUUUUGUUUUUGCUUUGUUUUUGUUUUGCUGAGACGGGGUCUAGCUCUGCCGCCUAAUCAAGCUCACUGUGGCCUCAAAACUCCUGGCUCAAGCAAUCCUCCGGCCUCAGGCUCCCAAGUAGCUGGUACUACAGACAGAGUCUCACCCUGUCUCCCAGGCUGGAGUGCAAUGGCACAAUCUCGGCUCACUGCAACCUCUGCCUCCUGGGUUCAAGCGAUUCUCCUGCCUCAGCCUCCCAAGUAGCUGGGACUACAGGCACUGCGUCACCAUGCCUGGCUAAUUUUUUGUAUCUUUAGUAGAAAUGGGGUUUCACAAUGUUGGCCGGGCUGGUCUCGAACCCCUGACCUUGUGAUCUGCCUGCCUCAACCUCCCAAAGUGCUGGGAUUACAGGCGUGAGCCACCACGCCUGGCCACUGUUCUCUUUUUUUAAUGAUGGUGUAGAUGUCUACCCUGUGGAGAUAUAUUGAUCUUCAAAAUCACCGUGAUAGUACAGUUAUUAUGGAAAAUAUUAUUAAAUUCAAAAUAGAACUCCCAAAUGAUACAGCAACCCCACUGCUAGGGAUAUAUCUAAAGGAAAUAAAAUCCGUAUCCAGAAGAGAGAUCUGCACCAUGUUCACUGCAGCACCAUUUACAAUAACUAAGACAUGGAGCUAACCUAUGUAUCCAUUGUCGGAUGAAUGGGUAAAGAAAAUGUGGUACAUAUGCACAAUGAAAUACUAUUCCGGCCUUAAAACAUAAUGAAAUUCCCUCAUUUGGGACAACAGGGGUGAAAUGAGAACAUUAUGUUAAGUGAAAUUAGCCAGAUAUAGAAAGACAAACACUGCAUAAUCUCACUUCUAUGUGGAAUCUAAAGAGGUUGAUAUCAUAAAGCAGAGAGUGGAAUGAUGGUCACCAGGGUCUGGGGGCUAGAGACGCUGACUAAAGGGCAUGCAAUUUCAGCAACACAGGAGAAGUCAGUUCAAGACAUCUAAUGUGCAACACAGUGACUAUAAUUCACAGCAAUGUAGUACAUGAAAAUUCCUAAGAGAGCAGAUUUUAGGUGUUGUCACCACAAAUAAAUAUGUGAGGCAAUGUCUGUUAAUUAGCUUGAUUUAGCCAUUCCCCAAUCCAUAUUCCAAAUAUAAUACAUAUUUCAAAACAUCAGCUUGUAUACCAUAUGUACAAUUUUUGUCAGUUUAAAGAAAUAAAGAAGAAAAAA